CUUAACCCAAAGCAAGGCACUGAAAAUGCCUAGAUGAGUCUCCCAACUCCAUAAACA
RNAcentral lists this transfer RNA (57 nucleotides) under Bos taurus (domestic cattle). RNAcentral's name for it is "partial tRNA-Phe". The record is from RNAcentral. RNAcentral also lists the same sequence under 1 other name. Lineage: Eukaryota; Metazoa; Chordata; Mammalia; Artiodactyla; Bovidae.